UUUCUCUCACACUUCUGGGUCAGAUGCAGAGUUCACAAAGGUGUACUAGCUUUGCAUCAUUUCUAGCUAGACGCAAAAUGGCUCAGUAUGGUUUCAGUCCGAGCAUCAGCAGUGAACAAUUGUGAGCACUUGUACAGGUUCAUUAUUUUGACAGGUUCAUUUUCUUUUGGUGCUACAACAUAUUCAUCUGCUGAGAUUGUACUCGCACUUUUUGUGCUGGUGUUUCAGAACUUCUAAAUCAUGUUGCUUCUACUCUUGAAAUGUUAAUCACUCUUUGUAUGGAAGCAUUAUAUUCACCACUGCUCGUCUCAGGUUUCCUUGUUGGCGGACAACAUGGUUACAUUUGGUCCAAAAACAUCAAAUUCAGUGAAUUUUAAUAGCAAUCUGUUUGAUUGUUAAACAUGUUGGACGGAACACCAGCUCUCCUUGUUUGUGCAUUAUGAGAUCAAGUGUGGACUACUGAUAUUCUUUGGAAAUUAGCAUUUUAUUUGAACAUUUGGAGUUUUAAGUUUGUUAGCUAUAUAAACUGAGACGAAUAUUUUCCUCGCCAAGAUGGAACAAAAAAAAUGUUUGCUUU
Long non-coding RNA from Zingiber officinale, 577 nucleotides. RefSeq lists it as uncharacterized. The record is from RefSeq and is a predicted model, not a curated record. The transcript is spliced from 2 exons. NCBI's taxonomy places the organism in Eukaryota, Viridiplantae, Streptophyta, Magnoliopsida, Zingiberales, Zingiberaceae.